AGAGCGAACGCUGGCGGCAGGCCUAACACAUGCAAGUCGAACGGACCCUUCGGGGUUAGUGGCGGACGGGUGAGUAACACGUGGGAACGUGCCUUUAGGUUCGGAAUAGCUCCUGGAAACGGGUGGUAAUGCCGAAUGUGCCCUUCGGGGGAAAGAUUUAUCGCCUUUAGAGCGGCCCGCGUCUGAUUAGCUAGUUGGUGGGGUAAUGGCCCACCAAGGCUACGAUCAGUAGCUGGUCUGAGAGGAUGACCAGCCACAUUGGGGACUGAGACACGGCCCAAACUCCUACGGGAGGCAGCAGUGGGGAAUCUUGCGCAUGGGC
This 322-nucleotide ribosomal RNA is filed under the name uncultured soil bacterium. RNAcentral's name for it is "bacterial SSU rRNA". It matches the Rfam family "Bacterial small subunit ribosomal RNA", at positions 26 to 375 of the family's 1533-position model. The record is from RNAcentral.